GGGCCCGCACAAGCGGUGGAGCAUGUGGUUUAAUUCGAUGAUACGCGAGGAACCUUACCAGGGCUUAAAUGCAGUAUGACAGAUUUGGAAACAGAUUUUUCUUCGGACAUAUUGCAAGGUGCUGCAUGGUUGUCGUCAGCUCGUGCCGUGAGGUGUCAGGUUAAGUCCUAUAACGAGCGCAACCCCCUAUUUCUAGUUGCCAGCACAUAAUGGUGGGGACUCUAGAGAGACUGCCGGUGCAAAACCGUGAGGAAGGUGGGGAUGACGUCAAAUCAUCACGGCCCUUACGUCCUGGGGCUACACACGUGCUACAAUGGUAGGGACAGAGAGCAGCCACUUCGCGAGAAGGAGC
Molecule: ribosomal RNA, 352 nt
Filed under: uncultured bacterium
Lineage: Bacteria
Description: bacterial SSU rRNA
Rfam family: Bacterial small subunit ribosomal RNA
Source: RNAcentral